This 781-nucleotide ribosomal RNA is filed under the name uncultured Lactobacillus sp. RNAcentral's name for it is "bacterial SSU rRNA". It matches the Rfam family "Bacterial small subunit ribosomal RNA", at positions 28 to 776 of the family's 1533-position model. Lineage: Bacteria; Bacillati; Bacillota; Bacilli; Lactobacillales; Lactobacillaceae. The record is from RNAcentral.
GACGAACGCUGGCGGCGUGCCUAAUACAUGCAAGUCGAGCGAACAGAAGCAGCAGAAUUACUUCGGUAAGGACGCUGUGGAAGUUAGCGGCGGAUGGGUGAGUAGCACGUGGGUAACCUACCCUUAAGACUGGGAUACCACUUGGAAACAGGUGCUAAUACCGGAUAGGAGUAUGAGCUGCAUGGCUUAUACUUUAAAGGCGGCGAAAGCUGUCACUAAAGGAUGGACCCGCGGUGCAUUAGCUAGUUGGUAAGGUAACGGCUUACCAAGGCGACGAUGCAUAGCCGAGUUGAGAGACUGAUCGGCCACAUUGGGACUGAGACACGGCCCAAACUCCUACGGGAGGCAGCAGUAGGGAAUCUUCCACAAUGGACGCAAGUCUGAUGGAGCAACGCCGCGUGAGUGAAGAAGGUUUUCGGAUCGUAAAGCUCUGUUGUUGGUGAAGAAGGAUAUAGGUAGUAACUGGCCUAUAUUUGACGGUAAUCAACCAGAAAGUCACGGCUAACUACGUGCCAGCAGCCGCGGUAAUACGUAGGUGGCAAGCGUUGUCCGGAUUUAUUGGGCGUAAAGCGAGCGCAGGCGGAGAAAUAAGUCUGAUGUGAAAGCCCACGGCUCAACCGUGGAACUGCAUCGGAAACUGUUUUUCUUGAGUGCAGAAGAGGAGAGUGGAACUCCAUGUGUAGCGGUGGAAUGCGUAGAUAUAUGGAAGAACACCAGUGGCGAAGGCGGCUCUCUGGUCUGCAACUGACGCUGAGGCUCGAAAGCAUGAGUAGCGAACAGG